UGAGGAAUAUUGGUCAAUGGGCGGGAGCCUGAACCAGCCAAGUCGCGUGAGGGAGGAAGGUCCUACGGAUUGUAAACCUCUUUAGCCGGGGAGCAACGUGCGCCACGUGUGGCGCAGUGAGAGUACCCGGAGAAUAAGCAUCGGCUAACUCCGUGCCAGCAGCCGCGGUAAUACGGAGGAUGCGAGCGUUAUCCGGAUUUAUUGGGUUUAAAGGGAGCGUAGGUUGUCCUUUAAAGCGUGUUGUGAAAUGUAGGCGCUCAACGCCUGCACUGCAGCGCGAACUGAAGGACUUGAGUGUGCACGACGCUGGCGGAAUUCGUGGUGUAGCGGUGAAAUGCUUAGAUAUCACGAAGAACUCCGAUUGCG
RNAcentral lists this ribosomal RNA (366 nucleotides) under uncultured Bacteroides sp. RNAcentral describes it as "bacterial SSU rRNA". It matches the Rfam family "Bacterial small subunit ribosomal RNA", at positions 355 to 717 of the family's 1533-position model. Lineage: Bacteria; Pseudomonadati; Bacteroidota; Bacteroidia; Bacteroidales; Bacteroidaceae. The record is from RNAcentral.